This 109-nucleotide transfer RNA is filed under the name Apiotrichum porosum. RNAcentral's name for it is "Trichosporon porosum tRNA". It matches the Rfam family "tRNA". Rfam says of the family: Transfer RNA (tRNA) molecules are approximately 80 nucleotides in length. Their secondary structure includes four short double-helical elements and three loops (D, anti-codon, and T loops). Further hydrogen bonds mediate the characteristic L-shaped molecular structure. tRNAs have two regions of fundamental functional importance: the anti-codon, which is responsible for specific mRNA codon recognition, and the 3' end, to which the tRNAs corresponding amino acid is attached (by aminoacyl-tRNA synthetases). tRNAs cope with the degeneracy of the genetic code in two manners: having more than one tRNA (with a specific anti-codon) for a particular amino acid; and 'wobble' base-pairing, i.e. permitting non-standard base-pairing at the 3rd anti-codon position. Lineage: Eukaryota; Fungi; Basidiomycota; Tremellomycetes; Trichosporonales; Trichosporonaceae. The record is from Rfam by way of RNAcentral.
GACCCCGUGGCGUAAUGGUAGCGCGUGAGAUUCCAACUGGAAUGUGUCGAGCACCUCUGUGUGUUCGGAUGUUUCCUCAAGGUUGUCCGUUCGAUUCGGGCCGGGGUCG